ACUGUGCGGGCUCUGAGGGUACAGCAAUCAUGAAGGCUUUGCUUGUUGCCCUGCUGGUGGCAGUCCUAUGUGCUGAGCAAGGUAAGGUGCUACAAAGGCUUGGGGCAGCCAGGUGGAGAGGAUGGAAAUACCAGAAGAGAAGUUAGAGAUAAUGCAAGAACAAGAGGAUUUGACUGCUUUUGCUGCGAUUGCUGAAGUAUCGGUAGUGCACUUUUUCUUUGGUAUUCCUUACUUCAGACGAUAUUUAGUGAGAUUGAGUCUUAGCCUCUGUUUGAGCUCUACCAAGGUGCUCAUACCCCACAGAAGAUGAGCUCGUGACCUGUGUUUCUCUCACUCUCAAGUACUAUGCUCUGAGCAUCUGAAGAUACACACGUGAACCAAAAAAUGCUAAGAGCUGAGGACCAUCAAUCCAGCCAGUUUGUUUGGAUAAUGCUUUCAGACAUAGGGUUUGAUUUUUAGGUGGUCCUAUGUGGAGCCAGAAGUUUGUCUUGAUGAUCUCUGUGGGACCCUUCCUGCUCAAAAUAUUCUAUGAUUCCAUGAAUUAAGCUGGGCUCAUGGUUUUGCCUUCAGUUUUCUUUUUGUUCCUGAAUGAAACUGCUGGAGUUGCUGAUAAAAAUAACUGGGCUACUGUUGAGGCUUCAUCUUCUGCCAGCGUUUCACUUUAUUUCCCACAAUGGCACUGCAAUUAAGAAACUAGGUUGCUGGCAGAUAUUUGAAAACCCAAGAGCUCUUUGCUCACCGCUUUGAUGAGCUUUCUUAAAUGCCUCAGAGUGAGUGCAUGUGUAAUGGGAUCCACAAUAUGUUGUGCUUGGCCCCUUUCAAAAGGAUAUAAAGAUAUGACUUGAUAACUGCCUUGAGAUAAUCAAAUAAAAAAACCACAACAGUUGCUCUCCCUGCAUGUUUGUAAUCCCAAGGAGUACUGCAAGCCUUUUUGCACUGCUAAGGCUAUUUCUGACUGCAUUUGCAAAGCUGGAGCUAAUGGAGGGAGGGUGGAGGCCAAACAUAGGCAAAGCUUCAUAACAACUGCAGUGUUUUAAGUGGUUUCCUGUCUUGCAUUAGUGAAAGAGAGCAUGAGUGCAUUUCUCUUGCUUUUGCACACGUACUGGAAGCUCGGUUCUGAAGGAAGUGUUUUCAAAUAGCUAUGUGUGAUUUAUCAGAGAAACAGAUCAAGAAAGACUAGAUGGAAUGAAAAAUGUGGUAACAUAUUGGUCGGACAGCAAGUCUGGAAUUGCUCUGGCACGGUACGCAAAGGAUAUCAAUCCACAGCUUGAGUCAGGGGACAUCCAGAGAGAAAGGUGGGAGGCUCAAUCCAAAUGAUAGAGAAGCACUGAGUGUUGUAUGAGUCAAUUAAAAGGAAGUUGAAAGAGCAUCUGGGUAGGUUUCAGAACAAGGUGAUCGGUCAUUUGGUGAAGUUCAAAGCUCCAAAUCUGUAUGCAAGGCACCUGAACUCCCUGCAGCAUAGACAGCUUCCUCCUUGUUUUGCUACACAUGUGAAAAUGAGCACUCCAACUGGAACUGCCUUAAAACCUACAAGUGUGAAGAACAUGAGAAUUACUGUACAACCACAUACAGUGCUGCUGGGUUUGGCAAAGACAUGGGAUAUCGCAUAACCAAGAAAUGUUCUGCAGACUGUCCUGAGACCAACACAGACUUUGGAGUGGUGGCCAUUUCCACCAAGUGCUGCAAGACCUCCCUGUGCAAUUUCAGUGGUGCCAACAGUGUGAAACUGAGCUACGCUGUGAUGUUCCUGGGGACAGUAGCCAGUUUGAUCUGUGUCAUUAGGGCAGGAUUGUGAUGAGGGUUGGGGGUGGGAGAAGACAUGGCAACCCAAGGGCCUACACAUGGUCUUGCCAAAAAGAUUAAACAAUGUCUUUUGUCAAGUAUCUCCACCAAGGUCUAUGCUAUUCUGCUUUUUUUUCCCAACACUUUUUUUUUUUUUUUCCCAGACCUGACCCACAAAAUGUCAUGGCAGUGUAGCUCCUAGUUUGGUUUUUCUUUUUCCCCCUUAUUGUUUUGUACUAAUUUUCCCCAAGAAAGCUAUUUUGAUUGCACAUACGUGACAAUUGUCAGACAAAAUAAAGAUUUAUGUUAUUCUAGAGAGUGUUUGAUAUAUCCACGCUAAGCUCAGCCUGAGAAAACAGCUCUGCUUGAACGGGCUGCAGCUUGAAUCUCUACAUCACAUCAGAUCCCUUUUAUUUUUUUAGUGUCUGGGAGUACUCUCUUGGCUGCCUUUCCCCAUUGACUCAAUUGCAUCCAGAAGCUCAAGAAAGACACUCCAUAAAGCCACAUG
Coturnix japonica (Japanese quail) is the source of this 2290-nucleotide non-coding RNA. The record is from RefSeq and is a predicted model, not a curated record. NCBI's taxonomy places the organism in Eukaryota, Metazoa, Chordata, Aves, Galliformes, Phasianidae.